This 229-nucleotide long non-coding RNA is filed under the name Lathyrus oleraceus (garden pea). Its description in RNAcentral is "Pisum sativum (pea) long non-coding RNA (PSAT_LNC018064)". Lineage: Eukaryota; Viridiplantae; Streptophyta; Magnoliopsida; Fabales; Fabaceae. The record is from RNAcentral.
GUAAUGGUUGGAAAGGUCUUGACAUAAGGAACAAAUGUUAUGUUGGACCAAAACUCAUUUGGAGUGUGGAAAUUUAUGAAAACAGACCAUGAAGUUCAUAGUGAUGUGGGUAAUGGUUGGAAAGGUCUUGACAUAAGGAACAAAUGUUAUGUUGGACCAAAACUCAUUUGGAGUGUGGAAAUUUAUGAAAACAGACCAUGAAGUUCAUAGUGCAAAACAUGCCUUUGAG